This 69-nucleotide transfer RNA is filed under the name Ictidomys tridecemlineatus (thirteen-lined ground squirrel). RNAcentral's name for it is "Spermophilus tridecemlineatus (thirteen-lined ground squirrel) tRNA". It matches the Rfam family "tRNA". Rfam says of the family: Transfer RNA (tRNA) molecules are approximately 80 nucleotides in length. Their secondary structure includes four short double-helical elements and three loops (D, anti-codon, and T loops). Further hydrogen bonds mediate the characteristic L-shaped molecular structure. tRNAs have two regions of fundamental functional importance: the anti-codon, which is responsible for specific mRNA codon recognition, and the 3' end, to which the tRNAs corresponding amino acid is attached (by aminoacyl-tRNA synthetases). tRNAs cope with the degeneracy of the genetic code in two manners: having more than one tRNA (with a specific anti-codon) for a particular amino acid; and 'wobble' base-pairing, i.e. permitting non-standard base-pairing at the 3rd anti-codon position. Lineage: Eukaryota; Metazoa; Chordata; Mammalia; Rodentia; Sciuridae. The record is from Rfam by way of RNAcentral.
GGGGUUGUGGCUCAGGGCUAGAGCGCUCACCUUGCAGGUGAGAGGCCCUGGGUUCGAUUCUCAGCACCA